CGAUGAUUAAGAGCUUGCUCUUAUGAUUAUGGCGGACGGGUGAGUAACGUAUAGGGAUCUGCCUGUUAUGGGGGACAACAGCCGGAAACGGCUGCUAAUACCGCAACGCUCUACGGAGGAAAGUGGGGGCUCUUCGGACCUCACGCUAACAGAUGAACCUAUAUCANAUUAGCUAGUUGGUGGGGUAAAGGCCUACCAAGGCGACNAUCUGUAGCUGGUUUGAGAGAAUGAUCAGCCACACUGGGACUGANACACGGCCCAGACUCCUACNGGAGGCAGCAGUGGGGAAUAUUGGACAAUGGGGGCAACCCUGAUCCACAAUGCCGCGUGUGUGAAGAAGGCCUUCGGUUGUAAAGCACUUUAAGUUGGGAGGAAAAGCUGCUUGUUAAUANCGAGUAUGUUGACUUACCAACAGAAUAAGCACCGGCUAACUCCGUGCCAGCACCGCGGUAAUACGGAGGGUGCAAGCGUUAAUCGGAAUUACUGGGCGUAAAGCGCGCGUANGCGGUUUGUUAAGUCAGAUGUGAAAUCCCCGGGCUCAACCUGGAAUGGCAUUUGAACUGGCGGCUANAGUGUGGUAAGGUGAGUGGAAUUUCAGUGUAGCGGUGAAAUGCUAAGAUCUGAAGGAACAUCAUGGCAGCGACUCACUGGCCAUUACUGACGCUGAGUGCGAAAGCGUGGGUAGCAAACAGAUUAAUAUGUAGUCCACGCCCUAACGAUGUCACUUGUAUGGAGAAUUUAUUCUUUGUGUAUCAAGCUAACGCGAUAAGUUGACCGCCUGGGGAGUACGGUCGCAAGAUAAAACUCAAAUGAAUUGACGGGGGCCCGCACAAGCGGUGGACAUGUGGUUUAAUUCGAUG
RNAcentral lists this ribosomal RNA (860 nucleotides) under uncultured bacterium. RNAcentral's name for it is "bacterial SSU rRNA". It matches the Rfam family "Bacterial small subunit ribosomal RNA", at positions 64 to 956 of the family's 1533-position model. The record is from RNAcentral.